This 73-nucleotide transfer RNA is filed under the name Felis catus (domestic cat). It matches the Rfam family "tRNA". Rfam says of the family: Transfer RNA (tRNA) molecules are approximately 80 nucleotides in length. Their secondary structure includes four short double-helical elements and three loops (D, anti-codon, and T loops). The record is from Rfam by way of RNAcentral. Lineage: Eukaryota; Metazoa; Chordata; Mammalia; Carnivora; Felidae.
GCCUGGCUGGCUCGGUCGGUAGAGCAUGUGACUCUUGAUCUUGGGGCUGUGAGUUCAAGCCUCACAUUGGGCA